This is a long non-coding RNA of Molossus molossus (Pallas's mastiff bat), 153 nucleotides long. RefSeq lists it as uncharacterized. The transcript has 3 exons. The record is from RefSeq and is a predicted model, not a curated record. NCBI's taxonomy places the organism in Eukaryota, Metazoa, Chordata, Mammalia, Chiroptera, Molossidae.
AGAGAAGGUCAUGCACCUGAAUCCAGGCUGCAAGGAAGGUGGACCAAGGGAGGAUGGGCUCCAUGGAGAGAUGGCUGAUUCUAGGAUUGAAGCAGGAAAUUACAAGAUGAUCCCGGAACAUCUUGUCAUACCAGAAAGUGGAGCAAAAUACAA